CGGGUAUGAACGAUUUAUCGUUCUAAGUGAGUGACGUCACACUGCCAAGAAAAGCUUCUAGUUAGAAUCAGACCGCCCGUACCGCAAACCGACACAGGUAGUCGGGUCGAGAAGACCAAGGUGAGCGAGAGAACUCUCGUUAAGGAACUCGGCAAAAUGACCCCGUAACUUCGGGAGAAGGGGUGCUGAUCGCAAGAUCAGCCGCAGUGAAUAGGCCCAGGCGACUGUUUAUCAAAAACACAGGUUUCUGCAAAAUCGUAAGAUGAAGUAUAGGGGCUGACGCCUGCCCGGUGCUGGAAGGUUAAGAGGAUGGGUUAGCGCAAGCGAAGCUCAGAAUUGAAGCCCCAGUAAACGGCGGCCGUAACGAUAACGGUCCUAAGGUAGCGAAAUUCCUUGUCGGGUAAGUUCCGACCCGCACGAAAGGCGUAACGAUCUGGGCACUGUCUCAACGAGAGACUCGGUGAAAUUAUAAUACCCGUGAAGAUGCGGGUUACCCGCGACAGGACGGAAAGACCCCAUGGAGCUUUACUGUAGCUUGAUAUUGGGUGUUUGUACAACUUGUACAGGAUAGGUAGGAGCCGUAGAAGUCGGGGCGCUAGUUUCGACGGAGGCAUCGGUGGGAUACUACCCUCGUUGUAUGAACACUCUAACCCACGCCGGCAAUCACGGCGGGAGACAGUGUCAGGUGGGCAGUUUGACUGGGGCGGUCGCCUCCUAAAAGGUAACGGAGGCGCCCAAAGGUUCCCUCAGAAUGGUUGGAAAUCAUUCGCAGAGUGUAAAGGCAUAAGGGAGCUUGACUGCGAGACCUACAAGUCGAGCAGGGACGAAAGUCGGGCUUAGUGAUCCGGUGGUUCCGCAUGGAAGGGCCAUCGCUCAACGGAUAAAAGCUACCCUGGGGAUAACAGGCUUAUCUCCCCCAAGAGUCCACAUCGACGGGGAGGUUUGGCACCUCGAUGUCGGCUCAUCGCAUCCUGGGGCUGUAGUCGGUCCCAAGGGUUGGGCUGUUCGCCCAUUAAAGCGGUACGCGAGCUGGGUUCAGAACGUCGUGAGACAGUUCGGUCCCUAUCCGUCGCGGGCGCAGGAAAUUUGAGAGGAUCUGUCCUUAGUACGAGAGGACCGGGAUGGACAUACCGCUGGUGUACCAGUUGUUCUGCCAAGGGCAUCGCUGGGUAGCUAUGUAUGGAUGAGAUAAACGCUGAAAGCAUCCAAGUGCGAAACUCACCUCGAGAUAAGAUUUCCCACUCC
RNAcentral lists this ribosomal RNA (1245 nucleotides) under metagenome. Its description in RNAcentral is "bacterial LSU rRNA". It matches the Rfam family "Bacterial large subunit ribosomal RNA", at positions 1565 to 2820 of the family's 2925-position model. The record is from RNAcentral.